AUGGGCGCCGAGGAGGACGCUGCCGCCCGCCGCGAGCGCCUCAAGGCCCUUCGCGCCGCCAAGGAGCUCCUCUCCACCCCCGACGCCCCCGCCCCCGCGCCCGACGCGGACCAGCAGAAUGGUGAACAUGGGAUGACAGAAGAACAGGUGGUCCAACCAGAAUUGCCAGGUCCUGUGGAUGCACCCGAGGAUGCUUCCAGGGAGAACGUUAGCCCCACUAAGGAAUCUGAUGAGGUUGAAGACAAUGGGGAGGUACCACUGAAGUUCAGGAACUACCUUCCUCAUGAUGAGCGGCUCCGAGGUGGCAAGGUGGCUCCGCUGUCUCUUCCCAAGUUUGAAGAUCCGAUAGCUGCUGAUGCUGCUGAACCAAAGCAGCUGGAGAACCCCUUUGGGAACAUCGCCCCAAAGAACCCGAACUGGGACCUGAAACGAGAUGUGCAGAAGAGGAUUGACAAGCUGGAGAAGCGCACUCAGAAAGCUCUGGCGGAGAUUGCAUUGGAGCAGCAAAAGGAGAAAGAGGCGCUGGAGGAGGGAGGCGAUGCAGCUCAAGAGUGA
RNAcentral lists this ribosomal RNA (555 nucleotides) under Triticum aestivum (bread wheat). RNAcentral's name for it is "partial small subunit ribosomal RNA". The record is from RNAcentral. Lineage: Eukaryota; Viridiplantae; Streptophyta; Magnoliopsida; Poales; Poaceae.